RNAcentral lists this ribosomal RNA (1374 nucleotides) under uncultured bacterium. Its description in RNAcentral is "16S ribosomal RNA". It matches the Rfam family "Bacterial small subunit ribosomal RNA". The record is from RNAcentral.
AGAGUUUGAUCCUGGCUCAGGACGAACGCUGGCGGCGUGCCUAACACAUGCAAGUCGAACGGGGUCGGCCCCUUCGGGGACUGACUUAGUGGCGAACGGGUGAGUAACGCGUGAAUAACCUGCCUUUCAGUGGGGGACAACAGUUGGAAACGACUGCUAAUACCGCAUGAUGUUUCCGGGAGGCAUCUUCUGGAAACCAAAGCUUUAUGUGCUGAAAGAUGGAUUCGCGUCUGAUUAGCUAGUUGGUGAGGUAACGGCUCACCAAGGCGACGAUCAGUAGCCGGUCUGAGAGGAUGAACGGCCACAUUGGGACUGAGAUACGGCCCAGACUCCUACGGGAGGCAGCAGUGGGGAAUAUUGGGCAAUGGGGGAAACCCUGACCCAGCAACGCCGCGUGAAGGAAGAAGGCCUUCGGGUUGUAAACUUCUUUUAGCAGGGACGAAGGACGUGACGGUACCUGCAGAAAAAGCAACGGCUAACUACGUGCCAGCAGCCGCGGUAAUACGUAGGUUGCAAGCGUUGUCCGGAUUUACUGGGUGUAAAGGGCGUGUAGGCGGAGAUGCAAGUUAGGAGUGAAAUCCAUGGGCUCAACCCAUGAACUGCUUCUAAAACUGUAUCCCUUGAGUAUCGGAGAGGCAAGCGGAAUUCCUAGUGUAGCGGUGAAAUGCGUAGAUAUUAGGAGGAACACCAGUGGCGAAGGCGGAUUACUGGACGGUAACUGACGGUGAGGCGCGAAAGCGUGGGGAGCAAACAGGAUUAGAUACCCUGGUAGUCCACGCUGUAAACGAUGGAUACUAGGUGUGCGGGGACUGACCCCCUGCGUGCCGCAGUUAACACAAUAAGUAUCCCACCUGGGGAGUACGAUCGCAAGGUUGAAACUCAAAGGAAUUGACGGGGGCCCGCACAAGCGGUGGAUUAUGUGGUUUAAUUCGAAGCAACGCGAAGAACCUUACCAGGUCUUGACAUCCUGCUAACGAAGUAGAGAUACAUUAGGUGCCCUUCGGGGAAAGCAGAGACAGGUGGUGCAUGGUUGUCGUCAGCUCGUGUCGUGAGAUGUUGGGUUAAGUCCCGCAACGAGCGCAACCCCUAUUGUUAGUUGCUACGCAAGAGCACUCUAGCGAGACUGCCGUUGACAAAACGGAGGAAGGUGGGGACGACGUCAAAUCAUCAUGCCCCUUAUGACCUGGGCUACACACGUAAUACAAUGGCGGUCAACAAAGGGAUGCAAAGCCGCGAGGCAGAGCGAACCCCAAAAAGCCGUCCCAGUUCGGAUCGCAGGCUGCAACCCGCCUGCGUGAAGUCGGAAUCGCUAGUAAUCGUGGGUCAGCAUACCACGGUGAAUACGUUCCCGGGCCUUGCACACAAGGCCCGUCA